GCCAGGCAUGGUGGUGCAUGCCUAUAGUCCUAGAUACCCAGGAGGCUGAGGUGGGAGGAUUGCUUGAGCCCAGGAGGUCAAAGCUGCAGUGAGCCAUGAUCCCACUACUGCACUCCAGCCUGGGCGACAGAGUAAGACCCCAUCUCAA
This is an unclassified non-coding RNA of Callithrix jacchus (white-tufted-ear marmoset), 148 nucleotides long. It matches the Rfam family "Metazoan signal recognition particle RNA". From Rfam's summary of the family: The signal recognition particle (SRP) is a universally conserved ribonucleoprotein. It is involved in the co-translational targeting of proteins to membranes. Lineage: Eukaryota; Metazoa; Chordata; Mammalia; Primates; Cebidae. The record is from Ensembl.